CGAAGAAGGGUGAUCGAAAAGUAAUAUGCUUUCUCACUGACUACAGCAGGGGGGCUGAUAUGGCUUACUUAAUUGACUAAUCUGUGCCCCCAGGUCCUUCUGUCCUUCACAUUCCAGGUAACUGAGCAGCCUCAUGAAACCAGAUUGAAGAUGAUUACCAAAUAAAGUGAAAAUUCUUCAAGCUGGGCUCUCCAGUGAGAAAUGAAGCUCUGGAUACUUUCUGGCUAGAUGGUAUCAGAAGUGGGAUCCGAAGUAGAGUUUCUAGCAAUCCCCAGAAGCACUGAGUGACAAAGCAUGGUACCAGUCAGACUCACGGUGUCUGUUCCUCUCUUGCAGCAACUGGGGAUUGUGGGACAUUGCUGAAGAAAUCUCCAGUGACAGAGGUACUUGCCUCACUGGACUAGCUAUAAAACAGUUAAAUAAGGUACUACUUAAUACAAGAGCAUUAGGCAAAACUAACUGAAUAAUCCGGAUUGCCUUGGUCAAAGAUGUUUCAGAUUGAUGACGAUCAGAUCCACUUCCAGUGAAAAACCAAAGUUGACCCCUUAUGAAAUAGUCACUGGAAGGCUUAUGCUCCUAAUAAUAGAACCCCCUGUAUCUUCUGCUCCUAAACUUUAACAUGACUAAAUGCUGCAAGGCUUUAAUGCAUUAUGCCAAAGUGUACUUUUAGCAGGUAAAGAAAGCUUUUCACAGACCACUGACUGAGGACAAGCAAACCCUUCAUGAUCUAGAAUUGAGAGGCUGGAUCUUUUGGAAACACAUCAGAGAAAGACCCCCCUUGUCACCCACACUGCAGCAAAACUUCAGGACCUUGAAGCUUGGGUUUGUAAUCUCACAGCUUAGAAAGGCCCAACCAGACUCUUGGAACCAUACACCCAUCAGAGGGAGAACUUAAGGUAAAGCUAAUGAGGGAAGUUUCUCUCGAGAAGCAGAUGGCCUCCUAGAUGUGGACAGAUUUCCCGAGAUCGUGCAUCAAGACUUCUCUGCUGUCAUGAGGCUUUUAGCUCUCAAUUGUUUCCAAGUUCAUGCCUGUUAUGAACAACUGAACUGAAAAAGGGGUCUCUUGUAUAUACUCAUAGCGUAUACUUUUAUUUGUGAAGGAUAAAAAAAAACCUCAUACUGGCCGGGUGUGGUGGCUCACGCCUGUAAUCCCAGCAGUUUGGGAGGCCAGGGCAGGCAGAUCACGA
This is a long non-coding RNA of Rhinopithecus roxellana (golden snub-nosed monkey), 1187 nucleotides long. RefSeq lists it as uncharacterized. Lineage: Eukaryota; Metazoa; Chordata; Mammalia; Primates; Cercopithecidae. The transcript has 3 exons. The record is from RefSeq and is a predicted model, not a curated record.